UCCCUAGGUCCACUGUUCUUCGGGUAGUC
This 29-nucleotide non-coding RNA is filed under the name Mus musculus (house mouse). The record is from RNAcentral. Lineage: Eukaryota; Metazoa; Chordata; Mammalia; Rodentia; Muridae.